Molecule: microRNA precursor, 109 nt
Filed under: Sorghum bicolor (sorghum)
Lineage: Eukaryota; Viridiplantae; Streptophyta; Magnoliopsida; Poales; Poaceae
Description: MIR5565 microRNA precursor family
Rfam family: MIR5565 microRNA precursor family
Source: Rfam by way of RNAcentral
GUAGCCGUAUUUACAUCAAUCCACAUGUGUUGAGGUGGAUUGGAGUGGAACUUGAACUAAAUUUCAUCCCAAUCCACACCAACACACAUGGAUUGAAGUAAAUACAACA